Long non-coding RNA from Branchiostoma floridae (Florida lancelet), 1046 nucleotides. RefSeq lists it as uncharacterized. The transcript is spliced from 5 exons. Lineage: Eukaryota; Metazoa; Chordata; Leptocardii; Amphioxiformes; Branchiostomatidae. The record is from RefSeq and is a predicted model, not a curated record.
UGGUCAUUUCGUGACAUAUGAAACACAAGAACAAUGAGGGAGAAGCUUAACGCCUUUUCUUGAUCAUAUCAAAGGACUUUCCACCCGAACAGGUGUGUCACGGACCCUUCCCAGGUGACUUUGCACACCUGUAGUCGUUUGCCCCAGGCUGUUACGCAAUGCGUGGUUCUCGUCAAUAGGAGGUGGCAGUUUGUGAUUCAGGGAGAGACCGAAUAUUCAAAAUUUGACUAAGAUAUUCUUUGAUGGACGCAGAUAGCCCUGAGUUUUAGGUCAGCUUAUAUCCGGUAAAAAGGGCUACUUGAGAAGUUUCCAUUCGGUGACCGACGGUUUUUCUAGCUGCGUCACUAAGGACUUGCAACCCGGAAGUGUCUCUUAAGCGGGAAAAGGACCACUUAUCUGCAGUUAAGUCUUCACCACAGCGGUUCUAGGAAGCAAAUUUAAAGAAGGACAAGAUAGUCAAGAAAUACUAAGUGACCACCAUGGCGUCUGCACAGAGUGACUCUGAGCUAUCCCCUCGCAACAAGCUUUAUUUGAAAAUCAGUGAAAGUUUAUCUGAAGACCAAGUGAAAAAUUUGCGAGCUAUGUUGAUCACUGAUCAUAAUUUUGGCAAAGAAAAAAUUGAGACUGCGACACCCCAUGAGAUCUUCAACAUGUUGGAAGAUGAGCACAAAAUAGGCGAAGGAAACCUCGGAUUGCUGAUAGAGCUGUUGAAAUCCCUUGGUGAAACACAAUGGGCUAAUUAGUUGCAUGAGGAGGAAAUGCACCAAAGAGACAAACAGUCACAGGACAUGGAGAAGACUCAGGAGGAAGCUCAGCAGAAAACGGAUGAACAGCACAAGGAGCAGAUGGAGAAGGAGCGCAAAGAGAGGGAAGAUGCCGAGUUGACGAGGAUGAUGCUGGAUAUACAGCGAAAACAGGACGAACUGGACAGGGACGUGCUGGCCAUGUUGCGCAAAGCUCGACCACCUAAUUAGCGAGAAAACUUACUGCUCAGCCUCAAAAUAAAGCAGAGUGCUCCAUCUCGUUACUAUAAGGUGAUCGUGCUG